AGUAAAAGUCGUAACAAGGUUUCCGUAGGUGAACCUGCGGAAGGAUCAUUAUCGAGUUUUUGAACGGGUUGUCUGCUGGCUCGAAAGAGCAUGUGCACGCCUGGCUCAUCCACUCUCAACUUCUGUGCACUUUUCAUAGGCCGGCUUGUGGGUGUCGCGUUCGCGCGCACUUGUAGGUCUGGCUUAUGCUCUACCACAAACGAUUCAGUUAUAGAAUGUCUUUACUUUGCGAUAACGCAAUUAUAUACAACUUUCAGCAACGGAUCUCUUGGCUCUCGCAUCGAUGAAGAACGCAGCGAAAUGCGAUAAGUAAUGUGAAUUGCAGAAUUCAGUGAAUCAUCGAAUCUUUGAACGCACCUUGCGCUCCUUGGUAUUCCGAGGAGCAUGCCUGUUUGAGUGUCUUGAAGUCAUCAACCCCUACCGUUUCGUGCGGAACAAGGGGAUUGGAGAUGGAGGCUUGCUGCUGUGAAGGUGGCUCCUCCCAAAUGCAUCGGUUGGACCUGUGGGUCGGACUCGACUGGGCGUUGUACCAUCCUCGCUUGACCGAGAAGUUCCCCUCUUAGUGUCCUCCCAUGACCUUGCCUGCAGAGUGGCGGUCAACUUACUUUGAAAUCUGACCUCAAAUCAGGUAGGACUACCCGCUGAACUUAAGCAUAUCAAUAAGCGGAGGA
This 671-nucleotide ribosomal RNA is filed under the name uncultured fungus. Its description in RNAcentral is "eukaryotic LSU rRNA". The stretch from base 249 to 402 matches the Rfam family "5.8S ribosomal RNA". Lineage: Eukaryota; Fungi. The record is from RNAcentral.